RNAcentral lists this ribosomal RNA (484 nucleotides) under uncultured bacterium. RNAcentral describes it as "partial 16S ribosomal RNA". It matches the Rfam family "Bacterial small subunit ribosomal RNA", at positions 30 to 507 of the family's 1533-position model. The record is from RNAcentral.
AUUGAACGCUGGCGGCAGGCCUAACACAUGCAAGUCGAGCGGAUGAAGGGAGCUUGCUCCUGGAUUCAGCGGCGGACGGGUGAGUAAUGCCUAGGAAUCUGCCUGGUAGUGGGGGAUAACGUCCGGAAACGGGCGCUAAUACCGCAUACGUCCUGAGGUAGAAAGUGGGGGAUCUUCGGUCCUCCCGCUAUCAGAUGAGCCUAGGUCGUAUUAGCUAGUUGGUGGGGUAAAGGCCUACCAAGGCGACGAUCCGUAACUGGUCUGAGAGGAUGAUCAGUCACACUGGAACUGAGACACGGUCCAGACUCCUACGGGAGGCAGCAGUGGGGAAUAUUGGACAAUGGGCGAAAGCCUGAUCCAGCCAUGCCGCGUGUGUGAAGAAGGUCUUCGGAUUGUAAAGCACUUUAAGUUGGGAGGAAGGGCAGUAAGUUAAUACCUUGCUGUUUUGACGUUACCAACAGAAUAAGCACCGGCUAACUUCGUG